This 451-nucleotide ribosomal RNA is filed under the name uncultured bacterium. Its description in RNAcentral is "bacterial SSU rRNA". It matches the Rfam family "Bacterial small subunit ribosomal RNA", at positions 355 to 796 of the family's 1533-position model. The record is from RNAcentral.
UAGGGAAUUGUUCGCAAUGGGCGCAAGCCUGACGACGCAACGCCGCGUGGAGGAUGAAGACCUUCGGGUCGUAAACUCCUUUCGAUCGAGACGAAUGGCCUCCGGGUGAACAAUCCGGAGGAAUGACGGUACCGAGAGAAGAAGCCCCGGCUAACUCCGUGCCAGCAGCCGCGGUAAUACGGGGGGGGCAAGCGUUGUUCGGAAUUACUGGGCGUAAAGGGCUCGUAGGCGGCCAACUAAGUCAGACGUGAAAUCCCUCGGCUUAACCGGGGAACUGCGUCUGAUACUGGAUGGCUUGAGUGUGGGAGAGGGAUGCGGAAUUCCAGGUGUAGCGGUGAAAUGCGUAGAUAUCUGGAGGAACACCGGUGGCGAAGGCGGCAUCCUGGACCACGACUGACGCUGAGUGAGCGAAAGCCAGGGGAGCAAACGGGAUUAGAUACCCCCGUAGUCC